UGAGCUUGAUCCUGGCUCAGGAUGAACGCUAGCGGCAGGCUUAACACAUGCAAGUCGAGGGGUAGAAGUCUUCGGACUUUGAGACCGGCGCACGGGUGCGUAACGCGUAUGCAAUCUACCUUUUACAGAGGGAUAGCCCAGAGAAAUUUGGAUUAAUACCUCAUAGUAUAAUGACUCGGCAUCGAGAUAUUAUUAAAGUCACAACGGUAAAAGAUGAGCAUGCGUCCCAUUAGCUAGUUGGUAAGGUAACGGCUUACCAAGGCUACGAUGGGUAGGGGUCCUGAGAGGGAGAUCCCCCACACUGGUACUGAGACACGGACCAGACUCCUACGGGAGGCAGCAGUGAGGAAUAUUGGACAAUGGGCGCAAGCCUGAUCCAGCCAUGCCGCGUGCAGGAUGACGGUCCUAUGGAUUGUAAACUGCUUUUAUACGAGAAGAAACACUACUUCGUGAAGAGCUGACGGUUC
Molecule: ribosomal RNA, 467 nt
Filed under: Flavobacterium sp. 01WB01.1-13
Lineage: Bacteria; Pseudomonadati; Bacteroidota; Flavobacteriia; Flavobacteriales; Flavobacteriaceae
Description: bacterial SSU rRNA
Rfam family: Bacterial small subunit ribosomal RNA
Source: RNAcentral